Molecule: microRNA, 21 nt
Filed under: Ananas comosus (pineapple)
Lineage: Eukaryota; Viridiplantae; Streptophyta; Magnoliopsida; Poales; Bromeliaceae
Description: microRNA s1030_c129a
Source: RNAcentral
CAUACAUAACGAAUUGGUAUC